RNAcentral lists this long non-coding RNA (447 nucleotides) under Ananas comosus (pineapple). RNAcentral's name for it is "long non-coding RNA (ACOM_LNC016262)". Lineage: Eukaryota; Viridiplantae; Streptophyta; Magnoliopsida; Poales; Bromeliaceae. The record is from RNAcentral.
AAACUUCAAAUACCAUUCCUAUGGUUUUGCACUUUCUCACUUUAACCCCGUGGUUUAAAGUGUCUAAUUUAAUAUUCUGUGAUUUUAUUUUUCUCUGUUGUUAGUCCCUUCAUUAACUUUUCGUUAAAUCAUAUAUAAAAAAUUUCAGAUACCCUAUCUAUAGUUUAUCGAAUAAUCACUUUGGUACUCUUUAGUUUUAACUUUGUUACUGAUUUAAUGAAAAAAAUUAGUAAAAGCGAUAACAAAAAGAAAAAAAUAAAAUCAUAUGGUACGAAAGUGAUACACUUUUGUGAGACCCCAGAUAGUCCUAUAUAUAAGAUAAGAUAGGGCUAAACUCUUAACCCGGCUUAAGCAUUUUGGGUGGUGACUAGACCCAAGAGGUUAAGAGAGUUAAGCGUGCUAGGACGGGAGUAGUCCUAGGAUGGGUGAUCCCCUGGGAAGUCGGGG